CACGCCCUAAACGAUGCACACUAGUUGUUGUGAGGCUCGACCUUGCAGUAAUGCAGUUAACACAUUAAGUGUGCCGCCUGGGGAGUACGGUCGCAAGAUUAAAACUCAAAGGAAUAGACGGGGACCCGCACAAGCGGUGGAGCAUGUGGUUUAAUUCGACGAUACACGAAGAACCUUACCUGGACUUGACAUAGUAAGAACUAUCUAGAGAUAGAUGGGUGUCUGCUUGCAGAAACUUAUAUACAGGUGC
RNAcentral lists this ribosomal RNA (250 nucleotides) under uncultured bacterium. RNAcentral's name for it is "partial 16S ribosomal RNA". It matches the Rfam family "Bacterial small subunit ribosomal RNA", at positions 796 to 1041 of the family's 1533-position model. The record is from RNAcentral.